RNAcentral lists this ribosomal RNA (389 nucleotides) under uncultured cyanobacterium. Its description in RNAcentral is "bacterial SSU rRNA". It matches the Rfam family "Bacterial small subunit ribosomal RNA", at positions 28 to 446 of the family's 1533-position model. The record is from RNAcentral. Lineage: Bacteria; Bacillati; Cyanobacteriota.
GAUGAACGCUGGCGGUAUGCUUAACACAUGCAAGUCGAACGGUCUCUUCGGAGAUAGUGGCGGACGGGUGAGUAACGCGUGAGAAUCUGGCUUCAGGUCGGGGACAACCACUGGAAACGGUGGCUAAUACCGGAUAUGCCGAGAGGUGAAAGGCUUGCUGCCUGAAGAUGAGCUCGCGUCUGAUUAGCUAGUAGGUGUGGUAAAAGCGCACCUAGGCGACGAUCAGUAGCUGGUCUGAGAGGAUGAUCAGCCACACUGGGACUGAGACACGGCCCAGACUCCUACGGGAGGCAGCAGUGGGGAGUUUUCCGCAAUGGGCGAAAGCCUGACGGAGCAAUACCGCGUGAGGGAGGAAGGCUCUUGGGUUGUAAACCUCUUUUCUCAGGGAA